UGGGUUACUAAUCUGGCAAACAAUCCAAACACUCAGACUGAAUUUAUCACAUCGUUAUCAUUUUUUUUCUUUUUUUUUCUUUUUCAGGCUACAAACAACGUCAAAAUAACCAUUCCGGGUAAUAAGACAGCUCCAUCAUAUCAACUUGCUGCAUAAUUCUCUUCUGUCAGACUGGCUUCCUAGGCUCGGAUUUUCCUUGCCUGCCUCUCCGCCAGAUUAAAAGACCCUUGCAAGCUACACAAGUGAAGUCUACAGGCAGUGAAAUCCCAUGACCUCUAGGAUUGUGUUUACUGGAGAGAACGGAGGGAAAUAUGCAGAACAGAGUGGUGAUGGGACCAUGGUUUUACGCAGCCACGUAUCUCUACGUGGAAGGAGUUAGGAGGAGGUGGGUCCUUUGUGUUUGCUCUCAGACCUUGGGAAAGAAGCCUGGGAGCUUCACAUCCCUCCAUGUGAGGGGGAGAUGGGAAACACUCAGUGCAGACCACUCUGUCUUAGGGCUUUCCCAUCUCACUGAUUUUAUUUGUGUUUUGGGAUAACUCAAGAAUUGCCAUGGCGUGCUUACAGAACCCCAGUUGUGCUGGGAAGCUCAGGCAGGCUCAGGGCAGGCAGUUUGCUUUGGCAGGUGCGGUGUGAGUGCAUGGAGUGAGGGCUGACCACCGCCUUCGCUCUGCGCUGACGGGUUGGCCAUUUUCCUUGGGUGGUGGCCAGCCCUUCCUGCUAGAUUCAUGUUACAGAACUGCAUUUGCACUCUUCUCCAUCAUCCCAGGCAUCCAGAUGUACGACAGACGCACACACAUGCACUGCACUGCGGAUGCUGUGUUUUGGCUGCAGCUGAGAUAAAUCACAGUUCAAAGGAGCUCACGCAGCAGCAGCUGGGAUAUCCGAGCCAGCAGCAGAAGGCAAUAUGUGCUUCCAACCCACCCCUCGCUCCUCUAAAAACCCACAGACAGGAGUGGAAAGACCACCACCAGUGGGUCUCAGCCCUGGGUGUGCAGAAGAUAACUCCCUGCCCUCAGUUUGAGAAACCAUCAUUGUUUCCUUAUGCCCAAGGGACGACUUCUUUAAAGCAAUAG
RNAcentral lists this long non-coding RNA (1073 nucleotides) under Numida meleagris (helmeted guineafowl). Its description in RNAcentral is "lncRNA (ENSNMEG00000018234.1)". The record is from RNAcentral. Lineage: Eukaryota; Metazoa; Chordata; Aves; Galliformes; Numididae.